GGGGAGUCGGCCUCUUCCAGCCUCUGGGGCCGGCGAUGUCCCUUGACUUGUGGCCGGUCUCUCCCACUGUCUUCACGCCUCCUGCUCUGUGCGUGUGUGUCUUUCUUCUCUCUGUCCCUCUGCCUCUCUCUUCUAGGACAUUCGGGAUGACAUUUAGGGCCCACCUGGACAACUCAGAAUAAGCUCCUCCUCUCAAGGUCCUUAGCUUCAUCUCACCUGCAUAUAAGGUAACACUCCCAGGUCUGGGGAUUUGAUGUGGACAACUUUUAGGGUACCAGAGGGGCAGGCCAGCGUUCCUGCCUUAGUCGAUCCUGCGAGGAGAGGGGAGGCUGGAGAUAGUCAACGGGGGAGAACAGGUAUCUCCGACUUAUUUAGUCAUUGUAUUAGCUUGGGCUGCUCUGACAAAAUAUCAUAGACUCAGUGGCUUAGACAACGGAAAUUCAUUUCUGACGGUUCUGAAGGCUGCAGCCCCGAGAGCAGGGUGCCAGCGUAGUUGGUUUCUGGCGAGAGCUCUCUUCCUGGCUGGUAGACAGCCACCUUGCUGCUAGGUCCCUUUCGACACAGCCUUUCUUCUGUUUGCACUUGGGCAGGUGGGGCGAUGGAGAGCGAGGCUCUCCAGUGUCUUUUCCUUUAAGGUACUAGUCCUAUCAGAUCAGGGCCAUCUUAUGACUUCAUUUCUUACUUCCUUAGAGCCCCAUCUCCAAAAUCAGCCUGACUGGGAGUUAGGGCUUCAACCCAGGCGUUUUAGGGAGGUACUCAUUCAGUCCAUCGCACACACUCUUGCUGUGUUUCAUUGAAGCAUCUCAACGAUAUUGUCAGGGAGAGAUUGGUGUUUCUGUAUGAUGGGGUGGGGGGUGGAACUGAGGUUCAUGGAUCAAGCACCUCACCCAGCUGGGCGUCAGAGUCAGGAAUCAAAGCCAGGAGGGGCUGGCUCUGAAGUCCAUGCUGAUUCCACUGCCCUACGCUGCCCCGGAAGCUCUAGAGCUGAGGCUCUGGCUCUCCCCUGCAUAUGCUGCUGUCUCCACCACCGCCCGCCCCCUGCCUUCCACUGAAGGGCAGCCUCAGCGUUCACAGCCUCUUUACAGCAGCAUCCGGUCUUCAGCCCUCAAGAACCCCAGAUACACUCAUGGCUCUCAGAUGAGGAGCCUGCAGGCUGAAAACUUACGUAAUUUGCCCGAGGUUACAAAAUGAACACGUCAGGGAGCCAAGAUUCCAGCUCUGAUAAUUCCUGUGGGUGUCCUUAACCACUUCGCACUCCUCGGGCCACUGGUGGAGAGGACACCAAGAAAAGGCUUAGGGGUGACCUGACCCAGAACUGGGUUCUGUGCAACUGAAGCGGGGGAAGGGGCCAAGGGGCUGGCAAGGUUGGGGAAAGACUUACGGGGAUGGUAGGGCGGCUGUGGCUUGGAGGGCCUGAGAGUCAGGGAAGAGGCGACCCUGACAGAACAGAUGAUAACCUCACAGAACAGAUGCCUCUGAAGCAAGAGAGUGAGAGGUGUCUGUGGUCACCCUGGGGACACGGGAGUCGAAGAUCCCAGCGCCAGAGCAGGUCGGGGCGACGAUGAGGUCUAGGUGUGGCCGUGGGAGUAAAGCCAUUGAACAAAAGGGGAGUGACUGGGGUUGGGUGGGGGGGAGAUUGCCAGUAGACCCCACUAGGUCAAGAAGCCUGGAGGACAGAGCGCAUACCAGGGCCUGAGAGAGAGACGGCCCUUUCUGCUUAUCAUGAAAUCAGCGAAACCUGAGCUGGCUCUUGAAAAAUGGACAAGGGAUGACAGAUGCAAAAGCAAGAAGGGCUUCUAGGUGAUAGGCUAGAAGGAAAACGUGGAGGCGUGGAGUUCCCUGGCAGCCUAGGAGCUAAGGUUCUGGCAUCACUGCUGGGGCGGUGGUGUAGGUUCGAUCCCUGGCCCAGGAACUUCUGCAUGCCAUGAGCCUGGCCGAAAAAUAAAAAAUAACGAGGGAAUGCAUGGGGCACCUAGUUUAUAGUUUAAAUUGGCUAGAAUUAAGGGUGCAUGAAAGGGUGUGAUGGGACUUGAACUCUGAAAGUGUCCUCAUCUGGGUACCCUCCAAAACUGAUGUCGAAUCAAAGAUUUAGGUGUAAGUUCUUUAUUUGAGAGGACGUCCCAGGAAGGACAGUCAGUGAAGGAGUUGGGAAGAGAGAGAGAAGGGAGGAAAACCAAUGAAAGGUGAGCAAGUUACCUUUCGGGUAACUGAUGCCCAACCCGCUGGGACCCUGAGAGACUAUGCAGGACACACCUUGACCCACAGAGUUUGGGACUUUUCCAAACUUAGGGGGCUGCUCCUGAAAGCUCUUGCCAACUCCAGCAUGUGUUGCAGGGGAGAGGCGGUGAAUGGGAGGCUGUGCAGCAGGGCAGAGGGAAGGGGAAGGUGGAUGGGAGGAGGUGGCCUGGGGAAAGAGUGUUGAAGAGUUUAAAUGGAUAGAAUUUAGCCACUGCUUGGAUGGGAGCAGAGCAAGGGAAAGAGAGGAGAUUAUUAAACAGACCCUGGAUCUCAGGUAGGAAUUGCAAACACCUCUAGGACAUGUCUUGUUCAGGAGGAAUCAAAAGAGGACUGCCACGCUGCAUAGACUGGAAACCUUUCCUGAGUUACGGAGCCGGGUUUCACCUAUGUUUGGUUUCCUUAAAAAAUUAUGGAGUUCCUGGAAUUCCCGUCAUGGUGCAGCAGAAACGAAUUCGACGAGGAACCAUGAGGUUGCAGGUUUGAUCCCUGGCCUCGCUCUGUGAGUUAAGGAUCUGGGGUUGCCAUGAGCUAUGGUGCAGGUCACAGAUGCGGCUCAGAUCCUGCGUUGCUGUGACUGUGGUGUAGGCCCGCAGCUGUAGCUCCAAUUUGACUCCUAGCCAGGAAACCUCCAUAUGCUGUGGGUAUGGCCCUAAAAAGCAAAAAAAAAAAAAAAAA
Molecule: long non-coding RNA, 2913 nt
Filed under: Sus scrofa (pig)
Lineage: Eukaryota; Metazoa; Chordata; Mammalia; Artiodactyla; Suidae
Description: lncRNA (ENSSSCG00030031529.1)
Source: RNAcentral